CCCUUAGAGUUUGAUCCUGGCUCAGGAUGAACGCUAGCUACAGGCUUAACACAUGCAAGUCGAGGGGCAGCAUUUCAGUUUGCUUGCAAACUGGAGAUGGCGACCGGCGCACGGGUGAGUAACACGUAUCCAACCUGCCGAUAACUCGGGGAUAGCCUUUCGAAAGAAAGAUUAAUACCCGAUAGUAUAAUUAGACCGCAUGGUCUUAUUAUUAAAGAAUUUCGGUUAUCGAUGGGGAUGCGUUCCAUUAGGCAGUUGGUGAGGUAACGGCUCACCAAACCUUCGAUGGAUAGGGGUUCUGAGAGGAAGGUCCCCCACAUUGGAACUGAGACACGGUCCAAACUCCUACGGGAGGCAGCAGUGAGGAAUAUUGGUCAAUGGGCGCAGGCCUGAACCAGCCAAGUAGCGUGAAGGAUGACUGCCCUAUGGGUUGUAAACUUCUUUUAUAUGGGAAUAAAGUUUCCACGUGUG
RNAcentral lists this ribosomal RNA (471 nucleotides) under uncultured bacterium. Its description in RNAcentral is "bacterial SSU rRNA". It matches the Rfam family "Bacterial small subunit ribosomal RNA", at positions 1 to 463 of the family's 1533-position model. The record is from RNAcentral.